GGAUUCAAUCCUCCUUGGGAACGUGGUGAAUAACAUUCUGCAUGGAAUCAGUAAUGCAACAGGAGGAUGUUGUUUCAAACCAGAAACAAGCAGAGAUGGGGUCAAGCUUUUUGAGAUUGAAACUGUUCUUUCUUUGGAGAUGAGGAAACCAAAAAGCAAAGCUGACCCAUCAAGCAUCACUGAGAGUCUUUUGACAAGCUACUUUGCUACUCAUGGAUAUGAUGCCUUUCCAGAGGCUGUCUUGCCGAGUCAGAUGCAGAGCAAAGUGACUGUGACACAAAAGUAAGUAAU
This is a long non-coding RNA of Melanotaenia boesemani (Boeseman's rainbowfish), 291 nucleotides long. RefSeq lists it as uncharacterized. The record is from RefSeq and is a predicted model, not a curated record. The transcript has 3 exons. NCBI's taxonomy places the organism in Eukaryota, Metazoa, Chordata, Actinopteri, Atheriniformes, Melanotaeniidae.